This 301-nucleotide long non-coding RNA is filed under the name Vitis vinifera (wine grape). RNAcentral describes it as "long non-coding RNA (VVIN_LNC006472)". The record is from RNAcentral. Lineage: Eukaryota; Viridiplantae; Streptophyta; Magnoliopsida; Vitales; Vitaceae.
UGAGAUAUCCUACUUUAAUUAUCGUGCUUUUGCUGUGCUGUCACGGGUACCUUUCAGAUAUGGCCUAGUAGUUAAUAUAUAUAUAUAUAUAUAUAUAUAUAUAUAGAUAGAUACACUUUCUACUACCCUCUCUGUGCUGUCACGGGUACCUUUCAUAUAUGGCCUAGUAGUUAAUAUAUAUAUAUAUAUAUAUAUAUAUAUAUAUAUAUAGAAACACUUUCUACACCCUCUCUUAAAUAGGUAAAUGAUUGUUUUAUUUACUUAUCAAUAGAAAUUUUGAAAAAACAAUGAAGAUUAUUAA